AGACCUCAGGUCAGGCGGGGCUACCCGCUGAGUUUAAGCAUAUCAAGAAACGGAGGA
This 57-nucleotide ribosomal RNA is filed under the name Vigna unguiculata (cowpea). RNAcentral describes it as "partial large subunit ribosomal RNA". Lineage: Eukaryota; Viridiplantae; Streptophyta; Magnoliopsida; Fabales; Fabaceae. The record is from RNAcentral.